AUAUUCACACUAAGCAUGAGGAUUCUUGUGAUUUUUUUUUUCUCCUCUCAUUCAGGCUCAGACUGUGAAUGAACUGGUCAUUAACAAGAACUUAAACAAGGAAAUAAUUUCUCUUAAUCCCCAGAAGAGGCUGCUAUUAUCACAGUAGGUGUGUGGUACCCUGAAGCCUCCAGGAAAAAACAAUCUGAUCUCACGCCACAUUGUGCUAUAUCAAAGAGAUGCUGUAACAACGAAAACCUCAAGCUCUGAACCACUGUGGUCUUAGACUAGUAUUUAAAUGAGUGCUGCAAAAUGAAAGCCAAUGGCAGAAUUUCAGCAUUGAUGAAGUGGAUGUUACAGUAUCUUAUAUUCUCC
Gallus gallus (chicken) is the source of this 354-nucleotide long non-coding RNA. The record is from Ensembl. Lineage: Eukaryota; Metazoa; Chordata; Aves; Galliformes; Phasianidae.